Picea glauca (white spruce) is the source of this 80-nucleotide non-coding RNA. Lineage: Eukaryota; Viridiplantae; Streptophyta; Pinopsida; Pinales; Pinaceae. The record is from Rfam.
CGACCCCAGCUCAGGCGAGAACACCCGCUGAGUUUAAGCAUAUAAUUAAGCGGAGGAAAAGAAACUUACAAGGAUUCCCC